UGGCGGCGCGCUUAACACAUGCAAGUCGCACGAGAAAGUGAGCAACCAUGAGUACAGUGGCGUACGGGUGAGUAACACGUGGAUCAUCUACCUUCUAGUGGGGAAUACCUCCGGGAAACUGGGGACAAUACCGCAUAAGCUCGGAGGAAAGCAGCAAUGCGCUGGAAGAGGAGUCCGCGGCUGAUUAGCUAGUUGGCGGGGUAACGGCCCACCAAGGCGAAGAUCGGUAGCCGGCCUGAGAGGGCACACGGCCACACUGGCACUGAAACACGGGCCAGACUCCUACGGGAGGCAGCAGUGGGGAAUCUUGCACAAUGGAGGCAACUCUGAUGCAGCGACGCCGCGUGAGCGAUGAGGCCCCUCGGGGUGUAAAGCUCUUUCGACAGGAACGAUUAUGACGGUACCUGGAGAAGAAGCUGCGGCUAACUACGUGCCAGCAGCCGCGGUAAUACGUAGGCAGCGAGCGUUGUUCGGAAUUACUGGGCGUAAAGAGUGUGUAGGCGGUGCUCUAAGUCUGUCGUGAAAUCUCCCGGCUUAACUGGGAGGGUGCGGCGGGAACUGGAGUGCUAGAGGGUGGGAGAGGUAAGCCGAAUUCCUGGUGUAGCGGUGAAAUGCGUAGAUAUCAGGAGGAACACCUGCGGUGUAGACAGCUUACUGGACCACUUCUGACGCUGAGACACGAAAGCGUGGGUAGCAAACAGGAUUAGAUACCCUGGUAGUCCACGCCCUAAACGAUGCAUACUUGGUGUGAGCGAUUCAUUUCGUUCGUGCCGGA
This 775-nucleotide ribosomal RNA is filed under the name uncultured Acidobacteriota bacterium. Its description in RNAcentral is "bacterial SSU rRNA". It matches the Rfam family "Bacterial small subunit ribosomal RNA", at positions 37 to 850 of the family's 1533-position model. The record is from RNAcentral. Lineage: Bacteria; Pseudomonadati; Acidobacteriota.